Molecule: ribosomal RNA, 253 nt
Filed under: uncultured bacterium
Lineage: Bacteria
Description: partial 16S ribosomal RNA
Rfam family: Bacterial small subunit ribosomal RNA
Source: RNAcentral
GACGAACCGUGCGAACGUUGUUCGGAAUCACUGGGCUUAAAGGGCGCGUAGGCGGCUUGCAAAGUCGGUGGUGAAAUCCUGCAGCUUAACUGUAGAAGUGCCUCCGAUACUAGCAAGCUCGAGGGAGGUAGGGGUCUGUGGAACUUCUGGUGGAGCGGUGAAAUGCGUUGAUAUCAGAAGGAACGCCGGUGGCGAAAGCGACGGACUGGACCUCUUCUGACGCUGAGGCGCGAAAGCUAGGGGAGCAAACGGG